CACGCAGGCGGCCAUCUAAGUCAGAUGUGAAAGCCCACGGCUCAACCGUGGAACUGCAUUUGAUACUGGUUGGCUAGAGUACGGUUGGGGUGAGUGGAACUCCUGGUGGAGCGGUGAAAUGCGUAGAUAUCAGGAGGAACACCAGUGGCGAAAGCGGCUCACUGGACCGUAACUGACGCUGAGGUGCGAAAGCUAGGGUAGCGAACAGGAUUAGAUACCCUGGUAGUCC
Molecule: ribosomal RNA, 229 nt
Filed under: uncultured bacterium
Lineage: Bacteria
Description: partial 16S ribosomal RNA
Rfam family: Bacterial small subunit ribosomal RNA
Source: RNAcentral